This 447-nucleotide unclassified non-coding RNA is filed under the name Hevea brasiliensis (rubber tree). Lineage: Eukaryota; Viridiplantae; Streptophyta; Magnoliopsida; Malpighiales; Euphorbiaceae. The record is from RNAcentral.
GUUCUUCAAAUUUUCUAGAAAAUCCUCCGGUAAGUGAUGCAUCUUUUCCGCAAUUACCUCAAUUCUAUCUCUUGCUAUGUCACGAAGGGAGAUUUUAUCAGCACUAGAAAGACGAUGAAUGACUGACUGUUCCACAAAGUCAUUAUCUGCCUUUCCAUUUUCCAUCUUCUUUCCCAUCACUCCAUCACCAAUAGGCCAAGUUUCCUGAGAACUGGCACUCUCAGCAGGAGACUCCUGAAUUUGGUCAGAAUUAGAUCUGGGUACCUCAGGCGAAUGUCGAGGGUCUGAGGAAACUAAUGAAAGGGAGGUCUGAAGUUCCUCGGGUCGUGGCUGUUGACGUAUGGGAACCAUCUUUGAUGCAGGCUGGUGAUGAAUGUUAGAACCAGAUGACACACCCAUUAAUCUUACCACCAAACGAAUUCGAGAUUCUUAGCCGAUAAAAGCCGC